RNAcentral lists this ribosomal RNA (436 nucleotides) under uncultured bacterium. RNAcentral describes it as "bacterial SSU rRNA". It matches the Rfam family "Bacterial small subunit ribosomal RNA", at positions 518 to 952 of the family's 1533-position model. The record is from RNAcentral.
CGGUAAUACAUAUGGUGCGAGCGUUAUCCGGAUUUAUUGGGUGUAAAGGGUGCGUAGGUGGCUUUUUAAGUUGGCUGUGAAAUCCCUCGGCUUAACCGAGGACGUGCAACCAAAACUGAAAAGCUUGAGUGUUGGAGGGGAAAGUAGAAUUUCUAGUGUAGCGGUGAAAUGCGUAGAUAUUAGAGGGAAUACCAGUGGCGAAGGCGGCUUUCUAGACAAACACUGACACUGAGGCACGAAAGUGUGGGGGAGCAACAGGAUUAGAUACCCUGGUAGUCCACGCCCUAAACGAUGUCAACUAGCUGUUGGGCCGGUUACGGCUUAAUAGCGCANCUAACGCGUGNAAGUUGACCCCCUGGGGACUACNGUCNCAAGACUAAAACUCNAAGGAAUUGACGGGGAACCCNCACAAGCGGUGGAUGAUGUGGAUUAAUUC